CGCCGGCCGCCGGCCCUCGCCUUCGGUUUCUGCGUGACACAGCCAGAUCAACUAGGUGAAUGAUAUAGGAGUGAACAAGUUCAUCAGCACAAACGAAAACGGGCAGGGUUGUGUAUUUGCAAGGUAGCAGCCGGCGACGUGUCUUCGUAGCACAGGUAGAAACUGUGGAUGGCACCGUGAAGUUAAGAGAGAAACUGGAGCAGGAUCUUUUGUUUGUGCACAUUGAUGUGUCAUGACGUGAGGAGGGAUAUUAAUGGUUGUUGGGAUAAUUGCAUGAACAUGACCAUGGCCAUCAUGCUUAGGUAGGGACCAAGAACGUGGUCAUUAGAUAUCUUGUGGAUCAAUAUAAUUAGUACUCAAGCUAGCAGCACGGAGCACUCAGGUCUGAUUUCACUUUCUUUUUUUUUUCUAGAAAAAAUGUGAUGGUUAUACACCUUGCUUUUUACAAUUCUGGACAGGGGAUAUGGACCCUCUGGAGGUAGUGCCUGUAAGAUUUCACUUUGGAGGCGAAUUUGAUUUUGAUGGUUACUCAUUGAACUAUGUGCGUGGUAGAAUUGCAUUGUCACACAUAGAGAGGGAUAAGCUAUCACUGCCAGAGUUGAGGGGUUUUCUUAGUGACCCUGUCAAUUUGACAGUUGAGGAUGUUGAUUUUCAUUGGCUGCCCCCCGGAGCUGAUAUGAGUAACGGUGUGAGGAGCUUAGCUGAUGAUCAGAGUUGCAGAAAUGCUUUGCAAUUUGGAAUGGGAAGGAUGGCUUUGAGGUGAAAGUGUGGGACAAGAGGUUCAAAAUUGAUGUAGAGAGAAGAACUUGUUCUUGCAAAUACUGGCAGCUGGCAGGUAUCCCUUGUGCUCAUGCUAUCACUGCACUUUAUCUCAGUUCUAAACCACCUGAAGAUUACAUAGCUGACUGCUAUUCAGUUGAGCACUACAACAAGACAUAUGAUCACUGCAUGAUGCCAAUGGAGGGAAUGCAACAGUGGCCAAGAGGUCACGGCAAGCCUAAGCCUCCAGCCUAUGUGAAGAUGCCAGGUAGGCCGAGAAAGGAGAGAAGAAGGGAACCUAGUGAAGCAAAAAAGGCCACAAAGGUCUCUAGGGUGGGCUCGAGAGGUAACUGUAGCAAGUGUCAUCAACCAGGUCACAACAUUCGAAGAUGUGGAGCAAAGUCUAAAUCAAAGAAGAGAAACAUCAUGGAGAAAGGCAAAGAGGCAAGUAACAUUUCUCAUUCUUUUGCUAUACAAUUAAUUAUUAUUUAAGUGUUGUUAACUGAAAUUAUUGUUCCAGGUUUGGAGUGCAGUGGGCCAAAAAAAGUCCAGAAACAAUGCAGCAGCUCCAGGCAACACUCAAGAUGAGGCAUCUAAUAUGCCUUCCCAGAGCAGCUUCAACAGUACUGCGAGCAAGAAGAAGAAACUAGCUGCUGCAAAGCAAAAGAAAAAAACUUCCAGGCAGUAACAUGCUAUGUUGGUAGCAUAU
Long non-coding RNA from Panicum hallii, 1468 nucleotides. RefSeq lists it as uncharacterized. The record is from RefSeq and is a predicted model, not a curated record. Lineage: Eukaryota; Viridiplantae; Streptophyta; Magnoliopsida; Poales; Poaceae. The transcript has 3 exons.